GAGUUUGAUCUUGGCUCAGAUUGAACGCUGGCGGCAUGCCUUACACAUGCAAGUCGAACGGCAGCAUGAUCUAGCUUGCUAGAUUGAUGGCGAGUGGCGAACGGGUGAGUAAUACAUCGGAACGUGCCCUGUAGUGGGGAUAACUAGUCGAAAGAUUAGCUAAUACCGCAUACGACCUGAGGGUGAAAGUGGGGGACCGCAAGGCCUCAUGCUAUAGGAGCGGCCGAUGUCUGAUUAGCUAGUUGGUGGGUAAAGGCCCACCAAGGCGACGAUCAGUAGCUGGUCUGAGAGGACGAUCAGCCACACUGGGACUGAGACACGGCCCAGACUCCUACGGGAGGCAGCAGUGGGAUUUGGACAAUGGCGAAAGCCUGAUCCAGCAAUGCCGCGUGUGUGAGAAGGCCU
Molecule: ribosomal RNA, 405 nt
Filed under: uncultured microorganism
Description: bacterial SSU rRNA
Rfam family: Bacterial small subunit ribosomal RNA
Source: RNAcentral